UGGAGAGCUGCUCCAGGGCAGCAGGAUGUCCAGGAAAAAGGACCCAUCUACCACCAGAUCCUGAGGUAGCUGAGUUAUAACAGGUCAUUGCCAGAGGAGGAAGGUCCCUGGAGUAGAAAAUGCAGGAGAAGGAAAAAUAAAAUAAGAAAAAAAGUGUUUAAAGGGGAGACUUUGCAGACAGAAGCAACCUGUGUGCAAGGCCCUGCCUAUGAAUGGGGAUUACUUCUGCUUCCUAAAAGUUUUCUAGGUGUCAGACAAUCCUGGAUCCAAGAAUCUCCAAUCACGUUUCUCUGA
Molecule: long non-coding RNA, 294 nt
Filed under: Cyanistes caeruleus (blue tit)
Lineage: Eukaryota; Metazoa; Chordata; Aves; Passeriformes; Paridae
Description: lncRNA (ENSCCEG00000001221.1)
Source: RNAcentral